RNAcentral lists this unclassified non-coding RNA (331 nucleotides) under Moritella viscosa. RNAcentral's name for it is "putative sRNA". The record is from RNAcentral. Lineage: Bacteria; Pseudomonadati; Pseudomonadota; Gammaproteobacteria; Alteromonadales; Moritellaceae.
GAAGGUAUCUAAUAUCUAAGUCUAACAUUUGUAAUUAAUCAGCCCCCUCAUGCGGGGCUAUUAUCGCUGAUAGCCCAAGCCCUUCAGGUUUAUUGAGGCAAGAAAUCACAAUUUACCCAAAUCAAUUAAGUGGUGCUAAUGUUAUGGAGUUUCUAUCAAAAGGUUUACAAACCUGAACAGAGAAUCAAUCUACUUUUUCAGCUGACUAAAGUUGGCAACGAGAAUAUUAAAAUCGCCUGGUGAUGAAGUUUAAGAGCAACAUAACAAAAGCAUGUUGCGCAAUCACCAGCGGUUACACUGAAAAAAGACUGAACGAAUCCAGCCUUUUAUU